GAUGAACGCUGGCGGUAUGCUUAACACAUGCAAGUCGAACGGACUCUUCGGAGUUAGUGGCGGACGGGUGAGUAACGCGUGAGAAUCUGGCUUUGGGUUCGGGACAACCACUGGAAACGGUGGCUAAUACCGGAUGUGCCGAGAGGUAAAAGAGAAAUUGCCUGAAGAUGAGCUCGCGUCUGAUUAGCUAGUUGGUGAGGUAAAGGCUCACCAAGGCAGCGAUCAGUAGCUGGUCUGAGAGGAUGACCAGCCACACUGGGACUGAGACACGGCCCAGACUCCUACGGGAGGCAGCAGUGGGGAAUUUUCCGCAAUGGGCGAAAGCCUGACGGAGCAAUACCGCGUGAGGGAAGAAGGCUCUUGGGUUGUAAACCUCUUUUCUUAGGGAAGAACAAAAUGACGGUACCUAAGGAAUCAGCAUCGGCUAACUCC
RNAcentral lists this ribosomal RNA (432 nucleotides) under uncultured bacterium. RNAcentral's name for it is "partial 16S ribosomal RNA". It matches the Rfam family "Bacterial small subunit ribosomal RNA", at positions 28 to 504 of the family's 1533-position model. The record is from RNAcentral.